GCGGCCGGACCGCCGGCCUCCUCUUCAUCCUCCCGCGUCCUCCCGGGCUCGCGCCGCUGUCACUGGAGCCCGCAUCCUCCGCCUCCCGCCGCCGCCGCGACCCCGCACCGGGAACCAAGCCGGCGCGGAAAACCGCAAGAGCUCGCCGCCUUAGGAAUGCCACUCCACCCGGGCCUCCUUCUCCUGGGACCCCCUGGGCCCCACCCCCAGGACCUCCCACCUCUGCAUGCCCUGAGUUCGCUUUUCCCAAUGCACCGGGCAGCUUGACUCCACGCCCACCUGACUGGACUGGGAAAACCGAAGAAGUUAGUGAGGGUUCAGCAAUAAAUAGGAGGAGCAGAAUUUGAAACAGCAGCAUACCGGUCCUGCGCCUGGUGAAGGAUGACUCGCCAGAAAGCAAAGGCGCAGCUUGGCGCGUGGCCCAGGAGGCUCCGCGAGCCCUUGUACGUAAGGAUCGUGGCGCCCACGCUUGGGAGCAGAGCUCAGUGCAAACUUCCAACAGUUCUUCCAGUUUCCAGGGAAACGAGAUUUGGAGCUGCUGCGCGUUGCAGAACUGCUUCUCUGCUCCCCACAUGGGACCCCUGUGGCUGGCUGGUCUUAGGGAGGAAGGAAUUGAAGCCAUCUCAUCCAUGAAGUG
Molecule: long non-coding RNA, 637 nt
Filed under: Mus pahari (shrew mouse)
Lineage: Eukaryota; Metazoa; Chordata; Mammalia; Rodentia; Muridae
Description: lncRNA (MGP_PahariEiJ_G0004575.1)
Source: RNAcentral